This is a long non-coding RNA of Octopus sinensis (East Asian common octopus), 152 nucleotides long. RefSeq lists it as uncharacterized. The transcript has 5 exons. The record is from RefSeq and is a predicted model, not a curated record. NCBI's taxonomy places the organism in Eukaryota, Metazoa, Mollusca, Cephalopoda, Octopoda, Octopodidae.
AUAAUAAUAAUGCCUCUUAUAAGGCACAGACAAGCUGAAUUAUUUGAAUACGGUUUUGACCAACCACCAUGCAGCUUAAACAUCACGGUUCGCCGGGCGCACCGAUAUUACUAGCAAAGAUCCUGCCUUUAUUUCAACCAAUUAGCUUGUGG